This 181-nucleotide ribosomal RNA is filed under the name Sphingonotus azurescens. Its description in RNAcentral is "partial 18S ribosomal RNA". It matches the Rfam family "Eukaryotic small subunit ribosomal RNA", at positions 1656 to 1831 of the family's 1831-position model. The record is from RNAcentral. Lineage: Eukaryota; Metazoa; Arthropoda; Insecta; Orthoptera; Acrididae.
GCUUUUGUACACACCGCCCGUCGCUACUACCGAUUGAAUGAUUUAGUGAGGUCUUCGGACUGGUACGCGGCAUCGACUCUGUCGUUGCCGAUGCUACCGGAAAGAUGACCAAACUUGAUCAUUUAGAGGAAGUAAAAGUCGUAACAAGGUUCCCGUAGGUGAACCUGCGGAAGGAUCAUUA